UCUGUAAAAAAUAAAAUACAAUCAGCACCGUCUAGUUACAAGAGGUUAAAAUAGAGAAAUUGGGUUUAAGAAAUAUAUUACUCUGGAAAUCAAACUUACAGUUAGUGCUUAUGUACAAACCUCACAGCACUCGGAAAAAAAAUACAGUGAAAAUCAAAAACAAUGCUGCCUGCAGUUUUGAAAC
Molecule: long non-coding RNA, 184 nt
Organism: Salarias fasciatus (jewelled blenny)
Lineage: Eukaryota; Metazoa; Chordata; Actinopteri; Blenniiformes; Blenniidae
Exons: 3
Source: RefSeq, a predicted model, not a curated record